CACCUGAAACACGCUGCUUCUGUGUGUAACAUCAUGGGAAAGUCACAAAGAAAUCAGCUGAAAUAUCAGGAAGAGAACUGUGAACUUGCACAAGUCUGGUUCAUCCUUGGGUGCAAUUUCCAGAUGCCUGAAGGUGCCACAUUCAUCUGUUCAAAAAAUUACAUGCAAGUCUAAACACCAUGGAAAUGUCCAGCCAUCAUACCGGUCAGGAAGGAGAUGGGUUCUGUGUCCCAGAGAUGAACGUGCUCUGGUCCGAAAUGUGCAUAUCGACCCAAGAACAAAAGCAGAAGACCUUCUGAAGAUGUUGGCUGAAGCUGGUUUACCAGGUGUGCAUAUUUGCCCGAGCACAUGCAAAGGUAACAGGAAGAAAUGAGAGCUGAGAGAACAAAUGUUUUUAAUAAAAACUAUCAACUGAACAUGC
This is a long non-coding RNA of Scatophagus argus, 421 nucleotides long. RefSeq lists it as uncharacterized. The record is from RefSeq and is a predicted model, not a curated record. Lineage: Eukaryota; Metazoa; Chordata; Actinopteri; Scatophagidae. The transcript is spliced from 2 exons.